RNAcentral lists this transfer RNA (74 nucleotides) under Minisyncoccota bacterium. RNAcentral describes it as "tRNA-Gly". It matches the Rfam family "tRNA". Rfam says of the family: Transfer RNA (tRNA) molecules are approximately 80 nucleotides in length. Their secondary structure includes four short double-helical elements and three loops (D, anti-codon, and T loops). Lineage: Bacteria; Bacillati; Minisyncoccota. The record is from RNAcentral.
GCGGUUAUAGUUUAGUGGCAGAAUGCCUCGUUGCCAACGAGAAGGCGGGAUUUCGAUUAUCCCUAACCGCACCA